This 520-nucleotide ribosomal RNA is filed under the name uncultured Glomus. Its description in RNAcentral is "SSU rRNA". It matches the Rfam family "Eukaryotic small subunit ribosomal RNA", at positions 569 to 1091 of the family's 1831-position model. The record is from RNAcentral. Lineage: Eukaryota; Fungi; Glomeromycota; Glomeromycetes; Glomerales; Glomeraceae.
AGCAGCCGCGGUAAUUCCAGCUCCAAUAGCGUAUAUUAAAGUUGUUGCAGUUAAAAAGCUCGUAGUUGAAUUUCGGGAUCAAUACGCCUGUCGUGCCUUCGGUACGUACGGGUGUAAUUGGUUUCUACCUUCUGAGGAUCCUUGAUGUCAUUAAUUUGGUGUCUUGGGGAAUCAGGACUGUUACCUUGAAAAAAUUAGAGUGUUUAAAGCAGGCAUACGCUUGAAUACAUUAGCAUGGAAUAAUGAAAUAGGACGUUCGAUUCUAUUUUGUUGGUUUCUAGGAUCGACGUAAUGAUUAAUAGGGAUAGUUGGGGGCAUUAGUAUUCAAUUGUCAGAGGUGAAAUUCUUGGAUUUAUUGAAGACUAACUACUGCGAAAGCAUUUGCCAAGGAUGUUUUCAUUAAUCAAGAACGAAAGUUAGGGGAUCGAAGACGAUCAGAUACCGUCGUAGUCUUAACCAUAAACUAUGCCGACUAGGGAUCGGAUGAUGUUAAUUUUUAAUGACUCAUUCGGCGCCUUAA